Mya arenaria is the source of this 243-nucleotide long non-coding RNA. RefSeq lists it as uncharacterized. The transcript is spliced from 4 exons. Lineage: Eukaryota; Metazoa; Mollusca; Bivalvia; Myida; Myidae. The record is from RefSeq and is a predicted model, not a curated record.
AGGCUUGCAGUGACAUUUGCAACACAUGGCAUAAUGAACUGUGCAAAAGCAUUGUCGGUGCUUGUCUUUUGCUGCUUGAAAAUACAAACUGUAUCAACUAUCGCAUGUUUGGAUUGUGGAGAUGGCGUGGAGUCAUUGUCGCAAUGUAACACGUUCAAGGAAUGCGGGCCUACGGAGGCGUGCUACAUAGAAAGAUAUAUAAACCUUGGCAGUGGAGUUCAACAAUUCAAAGCCGGAUGCAGG